Carnobacterium divergens DSM 20623 is the source of this 211-nucleotide regulatory RNA element. It matches the Rfam family "T-box leader". From Rfam's summary of the family: Uncharged tRNA acts as the effector for transcription antitermination of genes in the T-box leader family. T-boxes are found upstream of many aminoacyl-tRNA synthetase genes and some amino acid biosynthetic genes usually in Gram-positive bacteria. NCBI's taxonomy places the organism in Bacteria, Bacillati, Bacillota, Bacilli, Lactobacillales, Carnobacteriaceae. The record is from Rfam.
UUUAACGCGUUGAAGAGUUACAGUAGAAUCUAAAUCUUAGUUCAGAAAAUUGGUGGACGCUGCGAACCAAUCGGGAUUUUUAUUUGAAGUACAAACUUGGAGCAUCUUUAGGAAACUAAAGACGGAGAGGUCCGUUAAACCAAUGAAGCGAGAAAUGAUCUAUUCAUUUCUAAACUGGGUGGUACCGCGAAUAAUCAAAUUCGUCCCUGUU